RNAcentral lists this ribosomal RNA (574 nucleotides) under fungal endophyte sp. P101A. RNAcentral describes it as "eukaryotic LSU rRNA". The stretch from base 201 to 354 matches the Rfam family "5.8S ribosomal RNA". Lineage: Eukaryota; Fungi. The record is from RNAcentral.
GGAGGGAUCAUUACAGAGUUUCGUACUCCAAACCCUUUGUGAACAUACCUGUUUUCGUUGCUUCGGCAGGUGAAGGCGGAUGGCCUCCGGGCCUUUCCCGCCGCCGCCGGGUCCGGGAAACCGGCCGGGUGGGCCUGCCGGAGGGCACAGACUCUUGUAUUAAACGUACCUCUCUGAGUUAUCUUUUACAAACAAGUAAAAACUUUCAACAACGGAUCUCUUGGUUCUGGCAUCGAUGAAGAACGCAGCGAAAUGCGAUAAGUAAUGUGAAUUGCAGAAUUCAGUGAAUCAUCGAAUCUUUGAACGCACAUUGCGCCCGCCAGUAUUCUGGCGGGCAUGCCUGUCCGAGCGUCAUUUCAACCCUCAGGCCCUGGUUGCCUGGUGUUGGGGCGCCGCGCACCCCUAGCGGGCGCGGGCCCCGAAAGUCAGUGGCGGGCUCGCCAGGACUCCGAGCGCAGUAAUAUUGCCUCGCUGCGGAGCGCCUGGUGGGUUACCCAGCCGUAAAACACCCCAAAUUCUAAAGGUUGACCUCGGAUCAGGUAGGAAUACCCGCUGAACUUAAGCAUAUCAAUAA